This 1089-nucleotide long non-coding RNA is filed under the name Capsicum annuum. Its description in RNAcentral is "long non-coding RNA (CANN_LNC002532)". Lineage: Eukaryota; Viridiplantae; Streptophyta; Magnoliopsida; Solanales; Solanaceae. The record is from RNAcentral.
UUUAAACGUGGAGACAUAUUCACAUGGUAUUAGCAGAAGCCUAAAAAAAUCAAGCUAAACUUAUGAAGCAAAAGCAACACAGUAAAGAAGCAAACAAAGUAGUUUCAAUGGAUGACCAAAUGACGUGAAUAGUUAUUGGAAAGAUCCGUCUAAGCAAACAAAUACUUAUGUAUAAAAAUGCAAACGUUCAUAACAAAUCUGGUAAUCAACAACAAUAAUAAUAAUCAUGACCCAAUAAUAAUGAAUAAAAAUAACGAGAAAAAAUAGUACUCAUCUCCGAAAAUCAUGAGAUUUGCCAAAAAUUCACCUUCGGUCAGAUUUAAAAAUCAGCAACCAUAUUUAAUGUAUACAAUAAGACAAAACAAUGAUCGGAAUGAACUUAUUUUCGAACAGAUCUGUACAAUAACGCAACAUCAUAAAAAUAAGAAACUUCAUUCAGUGGGGAAAACACAAUAAAUCAGUGGAGAAAAUAGCGUUGCUUCCAUGGUCUCUGCCGGAGCCAAAAGAAUCUAGCCAGAUCUGAACAUAUUCAAAGAGAAUAUUAGAGAAAAGUGGAAGAGAAAAAGAGAUGAGAGAAAGAGAAAGAGAAAGAAUCUUUGUGUUUUGUGUGUGGAUGUACGUGUAUGAUACAAGCAUGAGGAUCACAAGGAUUAUAAGGUUUUGUUGAAGGUUCAAGUUUCGAAUUUGCAAAGUGAAUUGAAGACCUUUUGAAGCCUUUUUUAAAGCCUUGUCAAAGCUUGGGAACUACAAAGACUACAAGGCGCAUUUAUGAAAAUGGACGCGUUUGAGCUUGCUGUGAACUCGCCCAGGGAAGUGUACGCCUUGACAUGUGAAGUCUAGUCUUAGGUGCUAAAAAAUAUCCCCAAGGCUGCCCCAAAUACACUCCACACCCGCCACCCUCAUUAAGGACAAAAGAGUCCUUUUGCAACACCUUGUAAUAGAUUAUUUAAACAUUUUUCUUAGUCUUGUUCCUUAGUUAGCUUAUUUUGAAAAUCAAUAUUGUAACAUUGAAACACCAUCCUCUCAAGAGAGAGUAUACCACCACUUUGACAUCAUAAGAAAUGGUUUCUUCUUGUGUUGUGUGUAUCG